CCUACGGGAGGCAGCAGUGGGGAAUAUUGGACAAUGGGGGGAACCCUGAUCCAGCGACGCCGCGUGAGUGAAGAAGUAUUUCGGUAUGUAAAGCUCUAUCAGCAGGGAAGAAAGAAAUGACGGUACCUGACUAAGAAGCCCCGGCUAACUACGUGCCAGCAGCCGCGGUAAUACGUAGGGGGCAAGCGUUAUCCGGAUUUACUGGGUGUAAAGGGAGCGUAGACGGCGAUGCUAGUCUGAAGUGAAAGGCGGGGGCCCAACCCCCGGACUGCUUUGGAAACUGUAUGGCUGGAGUGCAGGGGAGGUAAGUGGAAUUCCUAGUGUAGCGGUGAAAUGCGUAGAUAUUAGGAGGAACACCAGUGGCGAAGGCGGCUUACUGGACUGUAACUGACGUUGAGGCUCGAAAGCGUGGGGAGCAAACAGGAUUAGAUACCCCUGUAGUC
Molecule: ribosomal RNA, 443 nt
Filed under: uncultured bacterium
Lineage: Bacteria
Description: partial 16S ribosomal RNA
Rfam family: Bacterial small subunit ribosomal RNA
Source: RNAcentral